GAUAAGGAGAACAUCCUGAUGGGGACAGGGGAGAUACACCUUGAAGACAUGGCAGAGAGCUAGCAGAAUGGCAAAGAAGGCACAUCCACUCCUGAGGACAAGGAGAGUAAGCAGGAGGAUGUUGACAGCAUAGAGGUGGAAGGGACCAAUGACAGUAACAUCAACAGCACAACAGUGGAGGAGCCACCCACAGACCCAAUGCCAGAAUGA
RNAcentral lists this long non-coding RNA (210 nucleotides) under Mus musculus (house mouse). RNAcentral describes it as "long non-coding RNA chr2:83428701-83428911". The record is from RNAcentral. Lineage: Eukaryota; Metazoa; Chordata; Mammalia; Rodentia; Muridae.